This 447-nucleotide ribosomal RNA is filed under the name uncultured bacterium. RNAcentral describes it as "partial 16S ribosomal RNA". It matches the Rfam family "Bacterial small subunit ribosomal RNA", at positions 29 to 507 of the family's 1533-position model. The record is from RNAcentral.
AACGAACGCUAGCGGUAUGCUUAACACAUGCAAGUCGGACGGACUAAUUAGGGCUUGCUCCAAUUAGUUAGUGGCAGACGGGUGAGUAACACGUGGGAAUCUGCCCAUCAGUACGGAAUAACUUUUAGAAAUAAAAGCUAAUACCGUAUAUUCUCUACAGAGGAAAGAUUUAUCGCUGAUGGAUGAGCCCGCGUCAGAUUAGGUAGUUGGUGAGGUAACGGCUCACCAAGCCGACGAUCUGUAGCUGGUCUGAGAGGCUGAUCAGCCACACUGGAGCUGCGACACGGCCCCGACUCCUACGGAAGGCAGCAGUGGGGAAUAUUGGACAAUGGGCGAAAGCCUGAUCCAGCAAUGCCGGGUGAGUGAUCAAGGCCCUAGGGUUGUAAAGCUCUUUUAGCAAGGAAGAUAAUGACGUUACUUGCAGAAAAAGCCCCGGCUAACUCCGUG